This 491-nucleotide ribosomal RNA is filed under the name uncultured bacterium. RNAcentral's name for it is "partial 16S ribosomal RNA". It matches the Rfam family "Bacterial small subunit ribosomal RNA", at positions 29 to 507 of the family's 1533-position model. The record is from RNAcentral.
AGUGAACGCUGGCGGUAGGCCUAACACAUGCAAGUCGAACGGCAGCACAGUAAGAGCUUGCUCUUACGGGUGGCGAGUGGCGGACGGGUGAGGAAUACAUCGGAAUCUACUUUUUCGUGGGGGAUAACGUAGGGAAACUUACGCUAAUACCGCAUACGACCUACGGGUGAAAGCAGGGGAUCUUCGGACCUUGCGCGACUGAAUGAGCCGAUGUCGGAUUAGCUAGUUGGCGGGGUAAAGGCCCACCAAGGCGACGAUCCGUAGCUGGUCUGAGAGGAUGGUCGGCCACACGGAACCUGAGACACGGUCCAGACUCCUACGGGAGGCAGCGGUGGGAAUAUUGGACAAAGGGCGCAAGCCUGAUCCAGCCAUACCGCGUGGGUGAAGAAGGCCUUCGGGUUGUAAAGCCCUUUUGUUGGGAAAGAAAAGCAGCAGGUUAAUACCCCGCUGUUCUGACGGUACCCAAAGAAUAAGCACCGGCUAACUUCGUG